AGGACUGUCCAACCUGAGAAUGG
RNAcentral lists this microRNA (23 nucleotides) under Dasypus novemcinctus (nine-banded armadillo). RNAcentral describes it as "dno-miR-1388-5p". The record is from miRBase by way of RNAcentral. Lineage: Eukaryota; Metazoa; Chordata; Mammalia; Cingulata; Dasypodidae.